GACGAACGCUGGCGGCGUGCUUAACACAUGCAAGUCGAACGGUGAAGCCCUUCGGGGUGGAUCAGUGGCGAACGGGUGAGUAACACGUGAGCAACCUGCCCCUGGCUCUGGGACAACCACUGGAAACGGUGGCUAAUACCGGAUACGACCCGCCUCGGCAUCGAGUGUGGGUGGAAAGGUUUUCGGCUGGGGAUGGGCUCGCGGGCUAUCAGCUUGUUGGUGAGGUGAAGGCUCACCAAGGCGACGACGGGUAGCCGGCCUGAGAGGGCGACCGGCCACAAUGGGACUGAGACACGGCCCAGACUCCUAUGGGAGGCAGCAGUGGGGAAUAUUGCACAAUGGGCGCAAGCCUGAUGCAGCGACGCCGCGUGAGGGAUGACGGCCUUCGGGUUGUAAACCUCUUUCAGCUCCGAAGAAGCGAAAGUGACGGUAGGAGCAGAAGAAGCACCGGCUAACUACGUG
RNAcentral lists this ribosomal RNA (462 nucleotides) under uncultured bacterium. RNAcentral describes it as "partial 16S ribosomal RNA". It matches the Rfam family "Bacterial small subunit ribosomal RNA", at positions 28 to 507 of the family's 1533-position model. The record is from RNAcentral.